Molecule: unclassified non-coding RNA, 95 nt
Organism: Cricetulus griseus (Chinese hamster)
Lineage: Eukaryota; Metazoa; Chordata; Mammalia; Rodentia; Cricetidae
Gene: Vault
Rfam family: Vault RNA
About the family: This family of RNAs are found as part of the enigmatic vault ribonucleoprotein complex. The complex consists of a major vault protein (MVP), two minor vault proteins (VPARP and TEP1), and several small untranslated RNA molecules. It has been suggested that the vault complex is involved in drug resistance.
Source: Ensembl
AGAUUGGCUUUAGCUUAACAGUUCCUUCUACAACAUAACAAUUUGGAAUCAAACUGCUGCUGGGUUGAGACCCACAGGCACUAACCAGCUCUUGA